This 960-nucleotide non-coding RNA is filed under the name Gobiobotia meridionalis. RNAcentral's name for it is "12S ribosomal RNA". It matches the Rfam family "Bacterial small subunit ribosomal RNA". Lineage: Eukaryota; Metazoa; Chordata; Actinopteri; Cypriniformes; Gobionidae. The record is from RNAcentral.
CAAAGGCAUGGUCCUGACCUUAUUAUCAGCUUUAACCCGACUUACACAUGCAAGUAUCCGCACCCCCGUGAGUAUGCCCACAAUCCCCCGCCCGGGGACAAGGAGCGGGCAUCAGGCACAAACUUUUAGCCCAAGACGCCUAGCCAAGCCACACCCCCAAGGGAAUUCAGCAGUGAUAAACAUUGAGCCAUGAGUGAAAACUCGACUCAGUCAGGGUUAACAGGGCCGGUAAAACUCGUGCCAGCCACCGCGGUUAAACGAGAGGCCCUAGUUGAUAAUAUUACGGCGUAAAGGGUGGUUAAGGAGAGUAAAAUGAAUAAAGCCGAAUGGCCCCUUGGCCGUCAUACGCUUCUAGGUGUCCGAAGCCCAAUCAAACGAAAGUAGCUUUAAUAAAAUUCACCCGACCCCACGAAAGCUGAGAAACAAACUGGGAUUAGAUACCCCACUAUGCUCAGCCAUAAACCCAGACAUUCUACUACAAUCAAAUGUCCGCCAGGGUACUACGAGCAUUAGCUUAAAACCCAAAGGACCUGACGGUGCCUUAGACCCCCCUAGAGGAGCCUGUUCUAGAACCGAUAACCCCCGUUAAACCUCACCACUUCUAGCCAUCCCAGCCUAUAUACCGCCGUCGCCAGCUUACCCUGUGAAGGUAAUAAAAGUAAGCAAAAUGGGCAUAGCCCAAAACGUCAGGUCGAGGUGUAGCGCACGGAGUGGAAAGAAAUGGGCUACAUUUUCUAUUAUUUAGAACACUACGAAUAUGCAACAUGAAAUAGUGCUUGAAGGAGGAUUUAGAAGUAAAAAGGAAACAGAGUGUCCUUUUGAACCCGGCUCUAAGGCGCGUACACACCGCCCGUCACUCUCCCCUGUCAACACGCAACAAAGAUAUAUAACACCAAAGCACUGACAAGGGGAGGCAAGUCGUAACAUGGUAAGUGUACCGGAAGGUGCACUUGGAUUAAA